CCGAAUCAGAGAUCUCAGUAGCCCUGCUCUUCUUGUCUGAAGUAAAACAGGGAGAGAGAGAAGAUUUGUGCUUAAGACUAGAAAAUUGAAUAAGGUGGCAAGUAACAAAGACACCGCUGGAGGCUGGACCCCUCACCAGUGAAGUUCUCAGAGAAGUAUCAAAGGGAUAGAUGGCGGUGGGGGUGAGGCCUGGCCCCAGGACUGGCACUGGAUGAUAAAUCCCAUCACUUCAAGCUGGUGAUGACUUUUCCUGCAUCACCUAACGCAGGGUGGAGCACAAAGAACUUGGCAGCCUCAGUUUUCCAGUGGGAACAUUGAACCCACCCAAUGUGCUUCCUACAAGGCGGAUUUGGAGAAUCAAACCCAAAUUUGGGGCCCCUCUCACCUCUUCCCCCUUCCUGGCUCACCCCUGUCCUUCCUCAUCCUCUUCCCUCCUUCCUGUCCUGCCCCCUCUCUGCCCCUCCCCUGUACCUCUCUCCCUCACCACCCUG
Manis pentadactyla (Chinese pangolin) is the source of this 491-nucleotide long non-coding RNA. RefSeq lists it as uncharacterized. The transcript is spliced from 3 exons. The record is from RefSeq and is a predicted model, not a curated record. NCBI's taxonomy places the organism in Eukaryota, Metazoa, Chordata, Mammalia, Pholidota, Manidae.